AUUGAACGCUAGCGGGAUGCCUUACACAUGCAAGUCGAACGGCAGCGCGGACUUCGGUCUGGCGGCGAGUGGCGAACGGGUGAGUAAUGUAUCGGAACGUGCCCAGUAGCGGGGGAUAACUACUCGAAAGAGUAGCUAAUACCGCAUACGCCCUACGGGGGAAAGGGGGGGGAUCGCAAGACCUCCCACUAUUGGAGCGGCCGAUAUCGGAUUAGCUAGUUGGUGAGGUAUAGGCUCAACAAGGCGACGAUCCGUAGCUGGUUUGAUAGGACGACCAGCCACACUGGGACUGAGACACGGCCCAGACUCCUACGGGAGGCAGCAGUGGGGAAUUGUGGACAAUGGGGGGAACCCUGAUCCAGCCAUUCCGCGUGUGCGAUGAAGGCCUUCGGGUUGUAAAGCACUUUUGGCAGGAAAGAAAUCGCACGGAUUAAUACUCUGUGUGGAUGACGGUACCUGCAGAAUAAGCACCGGCUAACUACGUGCCAGCCGCCGCCGUAA
RNAcentral lists this ribosomal RNA (501 nucleotides) under uncultured bacterium. RNAcentral's name for it is "partial 16S ribosomal RNA". It matches the Rfam family "Bacterial small subunit ribosomal RNA", at positions 30 to 523 of the family's 1533-position model. The record is from RNAcentral.